GCUCGGUUGGAACAUUUGAUGGAGUGGAAUGGCUCUCUAUCCCGUCGAUCUGGGAGAAGCUCGGAUGUCUCCGAAGCUGCUGACGAGUCUACUGUUGUCGGAUACCUUAGGCGUUGAUACUACAGGUGGGAGUUAUCUGCUGUAGAAGCUCGGAUGGAGACUUUCCGUUGGUGAAGCCCGGUAGGAGUCUGAUUACUAGAGAAGUCCAUCUGGGAUUCGCCUGAUGUGAAAGCUCGUCUGAAGAUGAUCCGUCAGAGAAGUUCGGUUUUAUGAAGGAUCUGGCGGAGGGUCGGCUGGCGAUGGACUUCGGA
RNAcentral lists this long non-coding RNA (311 nucleotides) under Elaeis guineensis (African oil palm). Its description in RNAcentral is "long non-coding RNA (EGUI_LNC076476)". The record is from RNAcentral. Lineage: Eukaryota; Viridiplantae; Streptophyta; Magnoliopsida; Arecales; Arecaceae.